Molecule: ribosomal RNA, 264 nt
Filed under: uncultured bacterium
Lineage: Bacteria
Description: partial 16S ribosomal RNA
Rfam family: Bacterial small subunit ribosomal RNA
Source: RNAcentral
AACAGGUCUUCGGACGCUGACGAGUGGCGAACGGGUGAGUAAUAUAUCGGAACGUACCCAGAAGUGGGGGAUAACGUAGCGAAAGUUACGCUAAUACCGCAUACGAUCUACGGAUGAAAGUGGGGGACCUUCGGGCCUUAUGCUUUUGGAGCGGCCGAUAUCUGAUUAGCUAGUUGGUGAGGUAAAGGCUCACCAAGGCGACGAUCAGUAGCUGGUCUGAGAGGACGACCAGCCACACUGGGACUGAGACACGGCCCAGACUCC